AUGGAGAAGGCCACGGCACCCACCGCCAAGAACCGCGAACCCGGCGGAGCCGCCGGAGGCAUUCCACGGAAGCGGGGUCAGAGUGACAACUGCUACGGCGAUAUCAUAAGCGGUCUCCCCGACGCCAUCCUGGGCACCAUCAUCUCCCUCCUCCCCACCAAGGAGGGCGCCCGCACGCAGGCCAUCUCUCGCCGGUGGCGCCACCUCUGGCGCUCCGCCCCCCUGAACCUCGAGGUCGCUCCCAGCCUCUGCGCCAACCUCAGUGAGCUCGCCUCCUUCCUCUCCAAAAUCCUCUCCGAGCACCCCGGCCCCGCACGCCGCUUCCGCUGCCCCUCCAUCCACCUCGGCGACAGCUACGCACAGGUCGACGGCUGGCUCCGCUCCCAGGCCCUCACCAACCUCCAGGAGCUCGACAUCAGAUUCGUUCGUCCGUCGCCGCGGCCCGAGACGGAUCACGCGCUGGCGUCGUCUCUGUACCGCCUGGCAUCCACCCUCGUCGUGGCCAAAAUCGGCGGCUGCAAUUUCUCCAAAGAGGUCGUGCCACUGUCGAAUUUCCCCUACCUGAAGGACCUCACACUACACUACGUUUCCUUGUCGGAGGAGUUCCUACAUGGCAUGCUCUCUAGCUGCAAGGCCUUGGAGAACCUGCUGCUCUGGAACAUCUUUGUUGUCGGCCACCUCCGCAUUAGCUCACCGACUCUUCGGCGCAUUGGCUUCUCCGUUUGUGCUGGUCACAAAGAGCUUGUCAUUGAGGAUGUGCCUCGCCUUGAAAGGUUGCUGCUACCUUCUUGGGGCAGAGGCGGUGGGACUAUUCAGUUAAUCCGGGCACCUAAACUGGAGAUGUUAGGCCCUUUGUCAGCUGGUGUUGCAGUAUUCCAGGGAACGAUGCCGAUCAGCUUGACAAACUUGAUGCACACUGUGAAGGCUUUAGCUCUCACUUCUGGCCCUCGACUGAAUGUUGUUCUUGACAUCCUCAAGUGCUUCCCCUGCUUGGAAAGGCUCUACGUUGUUCUGCAGAAAAAUUCAAAGAUGGAUGUGAAAGACGUGUCUCUAUAUGGUCCACUAGAUUCAGUCGAAUGUCUUGGGACCCAUCUCAAAGAAUUGGUGAUACUGAAUUACGAAGGCUGUGGGCAGGAUGUUGGCUUUGCCAAGUUCUUUGUUUUGAAUGCAGUGGUCCUAAAGAAAAUCAAAUUUGGAGUCCCUAAGAACAACAACGGUGACUGGGUGGCUAUUCAACUGGAUUUGCUGCAAGUGGAGAAUAGGGCUUCUCAAGAUGCUCAAUUUGAUUUCAAAUGUGGUUUGGAUGAUGUCAUUAACUACCUGCGUGUCCAUGACUUGUCAUUGACCGAUCCUUUCGACUGCUUGUUUUCUGAAUGA
RNAcentral lists this ribosomal RNA (1377 nucleotides) under Triticum aestivum (bread wheat). RNAcentral describes it as "partial small subunit ribosomal RNA". Lineage: Eukaryota; Viridiplantae; Streptophyta; Magnoliopsida; Poales; Poaceae. The record is from RNAcentral.